AACUGGGAUUUGAUACCCCACUAUUCAUGGCUGUAAACUAAUAGAAUUUACCGGAGUACUACGAAUUAAAAAAUUUAAAACUCAAAGGACUUGGCGGUGCUUUAGACCACUUAGGGGAACCUGUCUCGUAAUCGACAAUCCACGAUAGACCUGACCUUUUUUUGCAGACAGCCUGUAUACCGUUGUCGUCAGGUAACUUUUAAAAAUUUAUAAGUUAGCAAACAAACCUAAUAAAUUAAAACGUCAGAUCAAGGUGCAGCCGAUAAAAAGGAGAGGAUGGGUUACAGUUAUUAAAGUUAUAACACGAACGAUUGUAAGAAUUUAGAAUCCGAAGGAGGACUUAAAAGUAAGAUAGAAUAAAUAAGCAUUCUGAAUCUGGCUCUGAGGCGUGCACACACCGCCCGUCACCCUAA
RNAcentral lists this ribosomal RNA (413 nucleotides) under Turridae gen. sp. NP-2011. RNAcentral's name for it is "partial 12S ribosomal RNA". It matches the Rfam family "Microsporidia small subunit ribosomal RNA", at positions 653 to 1207 of the family's 1311-position model. The record is from RNAcentral. Lineage: Eukaryota; Metazoa; Mollusca; Gastropoda; Neogastropoda; Turridae.